GUCGAGAGUGAAUGAGAAGAGCGAUGUGUAUAGUUUCGGUGUCGUGUUACUCGAAUUGAUUACGGGUAAAAGGCCAAAUGAUUCUUCGUUUGGGGAGAAUAAAGACAUUGUUAAGUUUGCAAUGGAGUCAGCUUUGUCUUACUCUUCUCCAUCACCUGAAGACAAAGCUAUGAAUCAAGAUUCACUUGGAAAUUUUCGAGAUCUUCGCAAGGUUGUGGAUCCAAAGAUGGAACUUUCUACGAGGGAAUAUGAAGAGGUAGAGAGAGUUCUCGAGAUUGCAUUACUUUGCACGUCUUCGUUUCCUAUUAGUAGGCCGACCAUGAGGAAAGUAGUAGAGCUGCUCAAAGAGAAGAAGCCACUUGAGUGAGACGGUGCUCGUUUCUUCAUCUGGUUUUAAUACUAAGAUUGUUACUUAAUCAUAGGUGGGCUACUGGAAAACUAAUUUUAAAAACUUAAAUAGCUAGUUAUCUUUUUUUUUGUUAAUUUAAAGAUUAAGAAGCAUGGACUAAGCUAUAAGAUUUUGCAAACUUUAAAUUUAAUAGUCUAAAAGACAAUUAUUGUUGAUGUUCUCGAUAAACCAAUAUACGAGGCAGAUAUAUGUACCAAUCCUCUUCGAAUAAACAGCGUUGGUGUAACUCAUGCUCCAAAAGCAUUUUGCAUCACCAUCAAGAGUGUUUUUGCUUCAAGAGGGAUCUAUGUUCAAGUUUAUUCCAAGACUUACAUUGAAGACAAAUGCCGAUGUUUGAAUUGUUAGUACCUUCUACUCUUGCUCGUUUUAUCUUAAAUUAAUCAAGAGUUUUAUUGACGUUAAUCUAAAGAUAUGAUAGCUUUUGUAGUCCAAUUAAUAAUCUCAUUAAAGAUUCAUGUUAAAAUUGAGUUCAAAUUUCAGAAAGACGAUUCAUUUACCCAUUAUACCACCAGUUAAAUAAGAACUUAACAUUUUUUUGGUUAUAGUAAAAAUAUAAUUUUAGACAAUUGAUCUUCAUAAAUCAGUUAAUAGAUAUACAUAUACAAUUGUAAUAUGUAAAUUUUCAUAAGACAUAUGUCAGUUGUAGAGUUCAUGAUAGCAUAAAUAAAAAUGCUAAACAUGAAUUUUUACAGUUGUCCAGUUUAGAAUGUAAUAAUAAUAAAUAUAAAUUAAUGUUGGAAACACAAAUGUUUUUCUUUUACAAACUAAAAAAACUCUUGGGCCAAAGAAUAUGGUAUUGGGCAGUAACAUCUGGCCCAUUAGAUAUCCACAAGCCUUCUUCUUUCAAUUUAGGGCUCCAGAGACGACCACGUCGCCUCUGUCACGAAACCGCCAGUGACGCUAUCGUCUUUCACAUCCGAUAAGCAUAAGAAAAGCAAAUCGAAGAGAAGAGAAACAACGCAACAAUUGGAAAAAAAAAUGGCGUCUAAGGCUAUCUUCUCCACAAUCCGCCGAUCUCUAACGAAACCACGCGGCGGCGCAGUUUCCCGAGGCCACCACUUGUCCACCUCCGCCGCGACGGCGUCCGAAUCCUACGCAGGCGACGAACACGCGAUCGUGAUGAAAGGAGUUCGAAUCUCAGGCAGGCCUCUCUACCUCGAUAUGCAGUCGACGACCCCGCUCGACCCCAGAGUCUUCGACGCGAUGAACGCCUCUUCCAUCUACGACUACGGGAACCCGCACUCGCGCACGCAUCUCUACGGCUGGGAAGCGGAGAACGCCGUCGAGGUGGCUCGAAUCCAGGUCGCGAAGCUCAUCGGCGCCUCGCCGAAGGAGAUCGUGUUCUUGUCCGGCGCCACGGAGGCGAACAACACGGUGGUGAAGGGCGUGAUGCACUUCUACAAGGACAAGAAGAGGCACGUGAUCACCACGCAGACUGAGCACAAGUGCGUUCUCGACUCGUGCAGGCAUUUGCAGCAGGAAGGCUUCGAGGUAACGUACUUGCCGGUUAAAACCGACGGUUUAGUUGAUUUAGAGAUGCUGAGAGAUUCUAUUAGACCGGAUACCGGUUUAGUUUCGGUUAUGGCUGUGAACAAUGAGAUUGGCGUGGUGCAACCUAUGGAGGAGAUUGGUAGGAUUUGCAAGGAGCAUAAGAUCCCGUUUCAUACCGAUGCUGCUCAAGCUAUAGGGAAGAUACCUGUUGAUGUUGAGAAGUGGAACGUUAGUUUCAUGUCGAUGAGUGGGCACAAGAUCUACGGACCGAAAGGUGUUGGUGCUAUGUACGUUAGAAGGAGGCCGAGGGUGAGGCUCGAGCCGUUGAUGAACGGUCCGGUGAGUUGCCGCCGUAUCUAUGCUAUGGGAAGAAACUUGAAAAGCUAAUUAGUUUCAGUAAUCAGUUAAGCGGCGAGAUCCCGGAAACUUACGGUGAGUGCGACUCGCUUAAUUAUAUUAGAAUGGCGGAUAACAAACUCUCCGGCGAAGUUCCGGUUAGGUUUUCGGAGCUUCCUCUUACUCGUCUCGAGCUAUCCAACAACCGAUUACAAGGUUCGAUUCCUCCGUCGAUAUCCAAAGCUCGUCAGCUCUCUCAGCUCGAAAUCUCCGGAAACAAGUUCUCCGGUGCGAUUCCGGUGAGAAUCUGUGAUCUCGGAGGACUCAGGGUCGUCGAUCUCAGCCGUAACCGUUUCUCAGGAUCUAUCCCGUCUUGCAUUAACAGAUUGAAGAAUCUGGAGAGAUUGGAGAUGCAGGAGAACAUGCUCGACGGCGAGAUCCCGAGUUCGGUGAGUUCAUGCGCCAAGUUAACCGAGUUGAAUCUCUCCGAUAACCGCCUCCGCGGCGGAAUCCCACCGGAGCUCGGGGAAUUACCGGUUUUGAACUAUCUGGAUCUCUCCAACAACCAACUCACCGGCGAGGUUCCGGCGGAGUUGUUGAAGCUGAAGCUUAAUCAGUUCAACGUCUCCGAUAACAAACUCUCCGGCAAGAUCCCUUCUGGUUUUCAACAAGAUAUUUUUCUACCGAGUUUUUUGGGUAACCCGGAUCUCUGCGCCCCGGAUAUGGAUCCGAUUCGACCUUGCCGAUCCAAACCCGAGCCCCGGUUUAUCCUUUUUAUCUCCGUCGUCUGCAUCGUUGCACUAAUCGGAGCUUUGGUUUGGCUUUUUAUCAAAACCAAACCGUUAUUCCAGAGAAAACCGAACCGGACCGAUAAAGUAACCAUUUUCCAGCGGAUCGGGUUCACAGAGGAAGACAUAUACCCGCAAUUAACAGAAGAUAACAUAAUCGGGUCGGGCGGGUCGGGUUUGGUUUACAGAGUGACACUCAAAUCAGGCCAAACGCUCGCGGUGAAGAAACUUUGGGGUGGACCGGGUCAUAAACCCGAAUCCGAAUCCGUUUUCAGAUCCGAGGUAGAGAUUCUGGGUCGGGUCAGACAUGGUAACAUAGUGAAGCUUCUCAUGUGCUGCAGCGGCGAAGAGUUUCGGUUUCUAGUGUACGAGCAUAUGGAAAACGGCAGCUUGGGCGACGUUUUGCAUUCAGAGAAAGAACAUCGCGCCGUUUCUCCGCUGGAUUGGACGACAAGGUUUUCGAUCGCGCUUGGUGCAGCUCAAGGACUUGCUUAUCUACAUCAUGACUCUGUUCCGGCGAUUGUUCACCGUGACGUCAAAAGCAAUAAUAUAUUGUUGGACCAUGAGAUGAAGCCACGUGUUGCUGAUUUCGGUUUGGCUAAACCGUUGAAAAGAGAAGACAAUAAUGGUGUCUUUGAUGUUUCUCCUAUGUCUUGUGUUGCUGGAUCCUACGGCUACAUUGCUCCAGGUUCGAAUUCUAAAUGCUAAACCGAAAUAACAAAUAUUUUUUACUGUUAUUUUUUAUUCUGUUGUUGUGAUUGCACAUGCAGAAUAUGGUUAUACGUCGAGAGUGAAUGAGAAGAGCGAUGUGUAUAGUUUCGGUGUCGUGUUACUCGAAUUGAUUACGGGUAAAAGGCCAAAUGAUUCUUCGUUUGGGGAGAAUAAAGACAUUGUUAAGUUUGCAAUGGAGUCAGCUUUGUCUUACUCUUCUCCAUCACCUGAAGACAAAGCUAUGAAUCAAGAUUCACUUGGAAAUUUUCGAGAUCUUCGCAAGGUUGUGGAUCCAAAGAUGGAACUUUCUACGAGGGAAUAUGAAGAGGUAGAGAGAGUUCUCGAGAUUGCAUUACUUUGCACGUCUUCGUUUCCUAUUAGUAGGCCGACCAUGAGGAAAGUAGUAGAGCUGCUCAAAGAGAAGAAGCCACUUGAGUGAGACGGUGCUCGUUUCUUCAUCUGGUUUUAAUACUAAGAUUGUUACUUAAUCAUAGGUGGGCUACUGGAAAACUAAUUUUAAAAACUUAAAUAGCUAGUUAUCUUUUUUUUUGUUAAUUUAAAGAUUAAGAAGCAUGGACUAAGCUAUAAGAUUUUGCAAACUUUAAAUUUAAUAGUCUAAAAGACAAUUAUUGUUGAUGUUCUCGAUAAACCAAUAUACGAGGCAGAUAUAUGUACCAAUCCUCUUCGAAUAAACAGCGUUGGUGUAACUCAUGCUCCAAAAGCAUUUUGCAUCACCAUCAAGAGUGUUUUUGCUUCAAGAGGGAUCUAUGUUCAAGUUUAUUCCAAGACUUACAUUGAAGACAAAUGCCGAUGUUUGAAUUGUUAGUACCUUCUACUCUUGCUCGUUUUAUCUUAAAUUAAUCAAGAGUUUUAUUGACGUUAAUCUAAAGAUAUGAUAGCUUUUGUAGUCCAAUUAAUAAUCUCAUUAAAGAUUCAUGUUAAAAUUGA
Molecule: long non-coding RNA, 4683 nt
Filed under: Brassica napus (rape)
Lineage: Eukaryota; Viridiplantae; Streptophyta; Magnoliopsida; Brassicales; Brassicaceae
Description: long non-coding RNA (BNAP_LNC022551)
Source: RNAcentral